GAAUCAAACACGUUAGUGUCAGUAUAAUAUUAUUUACUAUUAAUAUAAAUGGACAAAAUUAAUACCCUGGUGUUUUUCAGCUAGCGAGCCAGCGCCCCAGGAGCCCGCACCUUCCUUCCCGAUACAAAAGCUGCAGAUAGAUGAAAGAGAAGCAUUCGGCCCACGGCUGCCUCCUGUCUUCUGCCCCAAUGUUCGUCAAACACUUGAGGCACCUCAAAAGGAGAAACAUAAAAAAAACAAAGAAAAACACAAGACCAAGAAGGAGCACAGACGGAGGAAAGAGAAG
Ailuropoda melanoleuca (giant panda) is the source of this 286-nucleotide long non-coding RNA. RefSeq lists it as uncharacterized. NCBI's taxonomy places the organism in Eukaryota, Metazoa, Chordata, Mammalia, Carnivora, Ursidae. The transcript has 2 exons. The record is from RefSeq and is a predicted model, not a curated record.